Molecule: ribosomal RNA, 301 nt
Filed under: uncultured bacterium
Lineage: Bacteria
Description: partial 16S ribosomal RNA
Rfam family: Bacterial small subunit ribosomal RNA
Source: RNAcentral
CAGUAGCCGCGGGAAUACGAAGGGGGCAAGCGUUGUUCGGAAUUACUGGGCGUAAAGGGUGCGUAGGCGGUUGUUCAAGUCAGAUGUGAAAGCCCUGGGCUUAACCCGGGAAUAGCAUUUGAAACUAGACGACUAGAAUUCGGAAGAGGUUGGUGGAAUUCCCAGUGUAGAGGUGAAAUUCGUAGAGAUUGGGAAGAACACCGGAGGCGAAGGCGGCCAACUGGUCCGAUAUUGACGCUGAGGCACGAAAGCGUGGGGAGCAAACAGGAUUAGAGACCCCAGUAGUCCCUGUCUCUUAUAC